AUAGUCGCCUGCGUCGUCGGUUCCGUUUUUGGAGCCAAGAGGGAAUGCGGUGAGGGCGACUUCCUGCCCAAAGCCGUGGCUGCCCCCGCAACUGUGUGCGGUAGUCCUCCCCAUAGACCACUGAGGGUUUCCCUCGGGAAGGUGGGGAAGGGCGCGAAUCCGCGAGCCAGGAGACCUGCCGGCGACAGAAAAGAUGA
This 197-nucleotide non-coding RNA is filed under the name Mesorhizobium sp. The record is from RNAcentral. Lineage: Bacteria; Pseudomonadati; Pseudomonadota; Alphaproteobacteria; Hyphomicrobiales; Phyllobacteriaceae.